UCUCUCUCUCUCUCUCUCUCUCUCUCUCUCUCUCUCUCUCUCUCUCUCUCUCCUCAUUUUUUCGCAACACGAAGGCACGAUUGUCCAAUCGUUAAUUUCAACUUGGAAUAAAUAGCUCCGAAUGACACGCGACAACGUUAAUUAAAAGUGACGUACCUGAUAGUAAAAGGGUAUCUAUCGCAGCGUGUUUGAAAGAAAAAAAGAAAAAAGGAACGAGACAGAGAGAGAGAGAGAGAGAGAAAUAAAGAUAAAAGAGUGAAAAGAACCAUAAUGGAAAUAUUUAUGUAAGUCUACGCGAUGAAUUUUCAUCAUUGCCGCAGGGAUGUAAAAUGCGCCGGAUGUUCUGUGUAAAAGCUGUGCGCGCGCUUUCCGGCACUAUCUGGCAAAAAUGUUUUUGAUGAAAAAAAAGCAAAAGCGAACAAUGAGUUGAAGAUAGGAAGUGGGAAUGAGACAAGAGAAGCGUGUAUCGACGACAGAUAAAAUAGUUCUAAGUACGAAAGAGCGAUCUUUCUAGAGAAUGCGAGUUUCGUUCAAAUAUUCGAGACUAUAGUGAUUCCUCGUGUCGAUGUUAGAGCUAUCUCUUCUUUUUACCAUAUUGUUUAACGAUUUACAGAUUAAUAAUAAUUAUUAACAUAUCGAUUAAGUCAAUUCGCAUAACGCAUACAAGGAAUAAAGCAUAUUUUAAAAUGGUAAUAAUAAUUUAUUUGUUAUUUGUAAGUUGCUAGUUGCAUAUAAAACUAAAUAUCGACGAAAUUUAUAAUUCUACAAAAGAACGAGCACUAGAUCAUCAUAAAAUUUGGUUCCCUUUUGAUGAAAAACCAAUUAAUUUAAAAAUGUAUGUUUACUGUCGUAUAAUAUGUGCAAAUUAUUCAUUAAAUUCUAUAGCAUUUUUUUUACUAGUAAAAGUAUCGAAUUAAAAGAAUGCCAUACAUAUAAAAUUUGAAUGGAUUUAGAGAAAGCAAUGUAUAGAGAGAAAAGACGAUAGAUGUAUUUAAAAAAUUGCAAAAAUUCAUGUUAUAUAUAGAUUUUUGUUGUAAAUAUUAUAUAUAAAAGGUUAAGUUGAGAUGCAUCCGAUUUUUUUCUCAAUGAACUUUAAUAGUAUUUAUUAAAGUUUAUUAUUAAACGAGAUACACAUAUAAAACCUUCGCGCAAGAAUUGCACAUUUAUUUGAUAAUAUAAUAAUUUAUUUGAUUAUAAGGAACAUUACGAAGAGUAAGUAAAGGCCGUAAAGGGUAUUUAAAAUGCGGUUUUAUCCUGUACGUUAUUUUAAGAAAUUAGUUGCUAUAUCAUACUUAUAUCGACAUCGACAUAUGUAUGUGUCAUACAUGUGUCUUUACAAGAAUUAACUUCGAUGAUUGGAGUUCCUUUUUCUUAAAACGAAUAUUUUACUUUGCCUCGUGUCGCCAACUGAAAAAUAAUGCGCAGAAACGAAACAUCAAAAUGCGCCGGCAUGCGAAGGUCUCAUCCUUCUCUGUGACGCAAUAGAAAGUAGAGCCGCAAGGCUGUUUCCACUGCCGCGUAGUAUUUUAUAAUAGAUUAGUAUAUACUUUUUCGCUUAUUUAGUUCUCAAAAAUUCGGACUUAAAAUUCAUUAAUGAAGAAACAUAUAUUGAUAUAAUCGAAUAUAUUAAAAGCACAAGAAAUUGUACUUCAAUUGAUAAUAUAUCGUUAUAAUUUUAUUAUCAUCAUAUAUGUACACACACACACACACACACACGCGCGCGCGUGCGUGCGUGCGUGCGUGCGUGCGUGCGUGCGUGCGUGUGCAUGUACUCUAAUAAAAACAUAAACUAAUAGUUAUAAUGAAGAAAGGAAGAUUCUAUUUCAUGAUUGUUAUAGUUCAUGAACAAUAUUAGCCAAAAUUGAAUAGUCGCGAAUUAAGUAUUUACCCUAAUUUUGCCGCACACUCUCGAUCAUGUUUUUACAAUGAAAGGAUUUGCGAAAUGAGAAUCGUGAUUUGCGUAUGCGUGUUGCUUCGCAAACCUAUAUAGUUUAUUGUACGUUACUAUUUCAUAGUGAGAUAAUUGCAUUACGGAAAAGAAUAUAUUGUGAGAAUUGCUUGAUGCUGUGGGAUCGAUAUUCCGUGUCGUAUAUUUAGCGACUGACACAAGAGCGACUCUGAAGACUCAAGAUUGGCUACGUGAAGAUACAUCGCUCGUUCCAUCUGUCUUUUGAAUAAUUGAAUUUUUUCUUCCGCUUUUCUAGCUUUCUUUUACUACAGUUUUAAGGGGCAACGUUUUAAGCUCAACGUGAUGAUGAGGAAGAAAGUAGAGAGAGAGAGAGAGAGAGAGAGAGGGGGGGGGGAGAUGGAUGGCAUAUACACGAUAGUUUAUUAUGGCCGCGUUAUGCGCGUACACGCCGGCAUGCAGAGGCGGAGUUGCGAAUCAAUAACUCGUGUUAUAAGGCAUUUCGGUAUGGCAAUAUCGAUUAUGUACACCGGUUAUGCGGGCCGAAGGUGUCCGAAGACGAUGACGCGCGGGACAUAAAUGCGGCGGCGGUUGCUGAUGUAAUGUUGCAACAUGACACGAUGAAAAUUAUGAUUACACGCGGGAGAGCAAGCGCACGCGGGGAACGCGUGCGACGAGCCGAGAAACCGCUUUUUGGACGCUCGAUGAUUUAGAUGGAGAUCGACAAAAAAGUGUUGCCUUUAUCCCACUAGGGAUAAAAACGCACGUAUGCGUUUAUACGAAUAACGCGAGCAUGUACAAUGAAAUAAAAUCUGUAGAUCGAGGAAAAAGGAGAAGAGAAAAGGAGGGAAUAAAAAAACAUCUCAUAAAUAUCUAACAGUUCAUCACACAAAUAAUGUAAUUUUUUAUAAAAAAUGAAUUGCGGAAAGACACUAAAUGCCAAGUCAUGUAUCGUAAUGGAAAGCUAUGUUUUAAAUCAGUUUACGAUUAUUAUUGAUUAUUUAUGUAAUCAUAACAAGAUAGUUAUAUGCUGUAAAAUCGGUCAUGAAUGAAUACGUUCAAAAAGGGUUAUGAGAUACUCGUGUUAUAUUCAACGGCGAAAAAUAAAUACGAUCUGGCGUGUUUCGCUUCUGCACGUCGACGCGACGUUGACUUAACGUGAAUGUGAAUCUGCCUUUAUUCGGAUCUCUCGACGAGUUCUUCCGUGCCGCCGCCACACAGAACGGAGAUAUCCGUAACCGACGAAAUUACGUAACGCGACAUGACUCGAUGAAAUCACGAUUACACGCGCGUACGUACGCACAUACGUUGCAUGUAGAUGCAUAUGUGGGAAGAAGAUAGCACAAAAUCCCUCGUGAUUUACGUACUGUAGUACGCGUGUGAUUAUUAUGUUCGAAUCGAUGAAUAUAUAAUAUAACUGAGGAGCAACGAAAUUAUUAUUCAUCUAAAAUGAUGAGAGAGAGAGAGAGAGAGAGAAAGAGAGAGAGAGAGAGCUUUAUAAAAGAUGUUUUUGAAAAAAGAACGCAGCUUCCUUUUCUACGUAUGUAACACACAAAUUUAUAGCGUUUUCGACCGGCCUGGUUUAAUCGCUCCGGGAGCGAUUAAUGACGUCAUAAGGCCAAUCACAGCCAUUCUUCUGAAGAAGGGAAUAACUGUGAUUAGCCAGUUCUAGAAGAAUAAGAACCUGAGAUGGAUUAACCCAACUCGGUUUUACCCGGUCGAAAACGCUAUUAUAUAGGGCCACGAAAUCUAAGCGACAUUCUGCACGUAAGGUAAAAUGUUUUAUCUCGCGACGUUAUGGUAAAUCGCGAACAACAGCACGUGUUUUCGCAUACGUGCAGUAUAUAGUUCAGCUAAUACUAUUGAUUGUCUAGAAGAUCUUAAUAAGAAGUGGAAAAAACGGCACUUUCAUCAGCGCGAGACUUUCUCGGAGAAUCCUUUUUCAUGGCGCGCUCCCGUCGCGUCGUCUCGCGAUCUGUUGGCUGGCGAACAAAAGAAAAUGCCGUAAAAUAUUUCGUCGUAUCGCCGACCAAGCGUGCGUACUUCAUGGUAUUUUGUUGAUUUCGCAUUUGCGGAAUAGAAAAUGUCAUUGGAUCUCAAAUUACGAAGUCUCGAUCGUUGAUGGGAGACUUACGUCUUCUUCAAACGUUCUCUCUUUUCAAACACGAGCAACAAAAGAAGAAGUAGAUAAAGAUUCGCAUGAUGGAAAGAUAGUAAGCUCUCCAGUAAUUCUAAUACUGACAAAAUUAUUCUCAUUGAGUACGUUUUUAUAUGAAAAAAUCUGACAAAGAAAAGCGUUGCUUUGCCCUGCGAAGCAAGAUUUUAAGAAUUGAAAAGUGGAGAUGACUGGUACAACGCGUAGAACGAUACGAAAAGGCGUCCUCGCACACUUUUCUUUCCAUUUCAUCGAGAUUCGUUCAGCAUUUAAUCACGUAAUUAGUUUACGUCAUCGUAUAAAACGUAUGUUUCGUUGUAACGUAGGUAUACAAAGCGAUAUUUUGUAAUACGUUUAAUUAAACACAAGCAGUGUUACCAAACGCAAAUUUAGUUAUUAAUAUCUUUGUAAGGUAAAAAGUACAAAGCGCUUUUGUAUGCCACAAAAGCAAUUGUUUUGUGUGUGACUUGAUAUCAAAUCGAUCGUAAAUAGGCUAUCUAUACGGUGGUCUUGUAGAGGAGUGGAUGAGAUGGGAACGUUGUCGUUGAGAAAGGACUAAUGAAAAGGAGGAUUCCCGAAGUUGGGUCAAUGGCGUCAAUCCCAGGGGCGUGUAACUCUGUCGAGAUUCAACGACGUAGAUACACAUCGACGAUCCCCGCUCUCUUUUUCUCUGAGUAUUCUUUUAAUGCGAAUGCGGAUUUACUUUCUGUCGGAAAAUAAAAGAGUCUGACAAUUAUCGAACUUUUCAUCCACAAUGGCAAAAAAAAAAACAGCGCGUCUCGACAACGGCUAUUAAAAUUAUACAAAUUUCGAUAUAAUCCCGACAAACGAUGCAUGUAAUUUACAUAUAAUAUUGAAAAACUCAACUGCGCGGGCGAAACGCCUUGUUUGCGCGAAUUUCGAGCACGAACGAUCAACGCAACGGUGCAACGAUAAUUUACGAUUCAAUUCAGCAAUAUUAAUUUUUUUAUUUCCCAUUGCUGAAUAUGACUUAUAUUCGAAUUACGUGUACAACUCACGUUUGUAAAUAAAUCCUCGAUUCAUAUACAGUAAAAAUAAGUGUGUUCGGCGUCAUCGUGUUUAAUUAUUGCCGCACGAUUCGAUAUGUCGCGUCGAAGCGAAUAGUUGGAAGCCUCCGUAUUAAAUAUUUUCUGCAAAGAGAAUCUGCAAAGCGCAGAAUCUCUCGUCGGGCGACUUUCUGUACCGUCAAAGUAAAUUUGCAAACGCGCCUUUGCAUCGUGCUUGUAACCGCUGGACUAUACGGAUUAUAAAGCUGCCUAGAAUAAACAGGUCUUGAAAAAUAUUUUCGAGAUUGUUUCAAAAGAGUAAAUAUCUCAAUAUUUAUACGAGAUCAAAAAAUGGUGCGUUUUAAAAUAACCGCGCAAUCUGUCAAAUAUUGAUACAACCAUAUUGUCUAGAAGCAAUGAUUUUUUAAAUAUGUAUCACACGAAAAAGUAUUGUAUGAAAAAUGAAAUGUUUAAAAGAUACUAGAAUAACUCCCAAAUCUAAUUCAUUUUACGUAUCGGUUAUUCAACCGUUUAUCGCGUGGAAACAGUACUGCAAAUAUCUACAUUACAUUACUUGUAAUCCUGUUACUAAAACACUGCAUUGGUCAUAAUCUCGAUAACGGCACGAUGUAGAACAGUGAUUUUUAUUAAAAAAAGGGAUUCACGCGCGCGGUUAAUUCAUCUACUCUGGAGAACAUAUUAUCUCUCAUGGAGAAACCUCAUAUUAAACUCAUAUUAAACAAAUGAAAAUAUAAAUGGGAUCAAAGACAGUAACGUUGCGUGUUUACCAAUGACUUCCAUGAUUCAUUAGAAUUAAACAAUAAAUUUCUUCUGUAAGUAAUUGCGUGGUCGACAUCGAAAAGGCAUAACGUGUCCGCAAAAUUAUUAUAUCGAUUGAUCGUGUGAUCAUUAUGAAUGAAAUUACUAUCGUAUGUAUACAUAUUACAUAUACAUACGUAUAUAUAUUUGCAA
Molecule: long non-coding RNA, 6040 nt
Filed under: Monomorium pharaonis (pharaoh ant)
Lineage: Eukaryota; Metazoa; Arthropoda; Insecta; Hymenoptera; Formicidae
Description: uncharacterized LOC118644979
Source: RNAcentral